GAGCCACUGAGUCCAGCCAAGUCACAUAUUAUUAUUAUUAUUGUUAUUUAGAGUAAGCGGAAACCUAAGCGAUAGAUCAUUUGCCCAAGGUCAUGGAACAUUUUAACGAUCUUGGAUAAAAUCCAAGUUUUCAGAUCCUUCAUCCACAAUCUCUUCUCUUCUUCCACGCUGUUAUUGUGAGUUUCUCUCUUUCUUUGAGGUGAACGUGUAAAAGAUUUAAGCCAUUUUAAAAAUAACUUGUGGCUCCUUAUAUACUAUUUCUUUCAAAGUCUUUUCAAGAAACAUGCAGUUGUCAAUGUGGAGGAGACUCUCGUUGCCCUCUUAUAUCUCAUACCUGCCAAAUCUUACCCUUUCAAAGUGAAGGACAUUUUCAUUUUCGAUUAAUAUUAAGACUACAUAAAAAAGCAUUUUGCUCUCUGAGACAAGCUUUUCUUCAGUGUUUCAACAAACCAUUUAUAUUUUUUUUAUCAUUUUUUUUUUCCCUACAAAAAAGUCUCCCUCAUUUAAAUUGUCACAGCUUGGGAACCCUGCCUGGAAUACAUAAUAACUGCUUGUAACACUUAAAACGAAAACAAAUUUACCAAGGAUGGUGGAAUGACAACAAAGAACAAGAAAAAUGACUGGCUUGAGGACACAGACUUCAGCGCAGAUGGGGACCUGGAUCCCAGCAGAACUGGCUCCCCUAGGAAAAUGGAUGGAACUCUGCUAAGAGAAAUGCCAACAAAAGGCCCAGAGGAAGAGAGAGAGCAAGACCCCAUGGAAGAUUCGGAUGUUCGUCUGGGUGGAAGAGUCCAAAGCGGAUGUACCAGCAUGUUGUUAGCACACACACACCCUUGUGGGAAGAGGAGCAGCUGAGGUGACCAGGAGGUGACGGAUGCUCUCACUCUUCAUCACGAAAUAUUCAGAGAACACCGUUCCAGCUCCUUGAGAUCUACGGUGUCCAGAGCAACCCCAGAUUCCUCUAUCAUCAUAAAUCCCUGACUAAAAGAAAGCAGCCAGAAGAUUUUCCCCUGUGAAAUGGCCCAAAGUCAUUCCAUCAGUCCUUCUCAAAGAUGCACUGGGUGCCCUUCAUCAUUAUCACAUUAUAAAUGAAUUUGUUAAGAAAUAUGUGCUUACUGACUACAAUGUGCCAGUCACUGUGCUAGAUGCUUGGGAUGUAGCAAUGAAUAAACAAACCUAUCAAGAUUCCUGCCCUCAGGGAGGUGACAGUCUCUCAGGGGAGACAGACACACAAUAACGACAGGAAGUAAAUUAAAUGGCAUGUUAGAAGGUGAUGGAACUAAAUAAAGAAAAGAAAGGAAAAGCCAUCAUUUACUUCAUCAUUCAUUUUUCAGUUUUCCUUUAGCCCCAACAUUCAGAG
Macaca mulatta (Rhesus monkey) is the source of this 1360-nucleotide non-coding RNA. NCBI's taxonomy places the organism in Eukaryota, Metazoa, Chordata, Mammalia, Primates, Cercopithecidae. The record is from RefSeq and is a predicted model, not a curated record.